UAGGGAAUCUUCCGCAAUGGGCGAAAGCCUGACGGAGCAACGCCGCGUGAGUGAUGAAGGUCUUCGGAUCGUAAAACUCUGUUAUUAGGGAAGAACAAAUGUGUAAGUAACUAUGCACGUCUUGACGGUACCUAAUCAGAAAGCCACGGCUAACUACGUGCCAGCAGCCGCGGUAAUACGUAGGUGGCAAGCGUUAUCCGGAAUUAUUGGGCGUAAAGCGCGCGUAGGCGGUUUUUUAAGUCUGAUGUGAAAGCCCACGGCUCAACCGUGGAGGGUCAUUGGGAACUGGAAAACUUGGGUGCAGAAGAGGAAAGUGGAAUUCCAUGUGUAGCGGUGAAAUGCGCAGAGAUAUGGAGGAACACCAGUGGCGAAGGCGACUUUCUGGUCUGUAACUGACGCUGAUGUGCGAAAGCGUGGGGAUCAAACAGG
This 429-nucleotide ribosomal RNA is filed under the name Actinomycetes bacterium. RNAcentral's name for it is "Actinobacteria bacterium partial 16S ribosomal RNA". It matches the Rfam family "Bacterial small subunit ribosomal RNA", at positions 355 to 776 of the family's 1533-position model. Lineage: Bacteria; Bacillati; Actinomycetota; Actinomycetes. The record is from RNAcentral.